This 427-nucleotide ribosomal RNA is filed under the name uncultured Streptococcus sp. RNAcentral's name for it is "bacterial SSU rRNA". It matches the Rfam family "Bacterial small subunit ribosomal RNA", at positions 955 to 1382 of the family's 1533-position model. Lineage: Bacteria; Bacillati; Bacillota; Bacilli; Lactobacillales; Streptococcaceae. The record is from RNAcentral.
GUCAACGCGAAGAACCUUACCAGGUCUUGACAUCCCGAUGCUAUUUCUAGAGAUAGAAAGUUACUUCGGUACAUCGGUGACAGGUGGGUGCGAUGGUUGUCGUCAGCUCGUGUCGUGAGAUGUUGGGUUAAGUCCCGCAACGAGCGCAACCCCUAUUGUUAGUUGCCAUCAUUCAGUUGGGCACUCUAGCGAGACUGCCGGUAAUAACCGGAGAAGUGGGGAUGACGUCAAAUCAUCAUGCCCCUUAUGACCUGGGCUACACACGUGCUACAAUGGUUGGUACAACGAGUUGCGAGUCGGUGACGGCGAGCUAAUCUCUUAAAGCCAAUCUCAGUUCGGAUUGUAGGCUGCAACUCGCCUACAUGAAGUCGGAAUCGCUAGUAAUCGCGGAUCAGCACGCCCGCGGUCCGAAUACGUUCCGGGCCUU